AUGGAUAUCAAGCAAAAGAGGCUAAUAUUUGCGGUUGUGUCAUAUGUGCUUGUCUCGAUGAUGACAUUGGUAGUUCAGUCUAGAAAAAGAAAAAGGCGUGUUGUCAUAUGUUAUGGGCCAAUAGAUGAGAGGGAUAGGAUGAGAAGUGAGUACCUAGAUAAUAAAAUAUGGAGGGAUGGAACGACAUGUGUGAACAUGCUUAGGCUUGGAAGAGGACCUUUCUUUCGAUUUUGUAAACUUUUUCGGGACCGUAAGUUGCUUGAAGAUACGAUUCAUUUGUCCAUUGAAAAACAAGUUGCUAUGUUUUUGCACAUCGUUGGACACAAUGUUAGGAAUAGGAUAAUAGGUGGCAACUUUGGUAGAUCCGGUGAAGUUGUAAGUCGUUAUUUCAAGAAAGUCCUUCAUGCUGUUGGAGAGCUACGUGGUGACCUUAUUAGGAAGCCCUCGUUGGAGACCCAAUCCAAAAUAGAAGGGAACUACCGGUGGGAUCCAUACUUUAAGGUAUGA
This 507-nucleotide ribosomal RNA is filed under the name Triticum aestivum (bread wheat). Its description in RNAcentral is "partial small subunit ribosomal RNA". Lineage: Eukaryota; Viridiplantae; Streptophyta; Magnoliopsida; Poales; Poaceae. The record is from RNAcentral.